RNAcentral lists this ribosomal RNA (496 nucleotides) under uncultured bacterium. RNAcentral's name for it is "partial 16S ribosomal RNA". It matches the Rfam family "Bacterial small subunit ribosomal RNA", at positions 28 to 506 of the family's 1533-position model. The record is from RNAcentral.
GAUGAGCGCUGGCGGCGUGCCUAAUACAUGCAAGUCGAGCGAACGGACGAGAAGCUUGCUUCUCUGAUGUUAGCGGCGGACGGGUGAGUAACACGUGGAUAACCUACCUAUAAGACUGGGAUAACUUCGGGAAACCGUAGCUAAUACCGGAUAAUAUUUUGAACCGCAUGGUUCAAAAGUGAGAGACGGUCUUGCUGUCACUUAUAGAUGGAUCCGCGCUGCAUUAGCUAGUUGGUAAGGUAACGGCUUACCAAGGGAACGAUGCAUAGCCGACCUGAGAGGGGGAUCGGCCACACUGGAACUGAGACACGGUCCAGACUCCUACGGGAGGCAGCAGUAGGGAAUCUUCCGCAAUGGGCGAAAGCCUGACGGAGCAACGCCGCGUGAGUGAUGAAGGUCUUCGGAUCGUAAAACUCUGUUAUUAGGGAAGAACAUAUGUGUAAGUAACUGUGCACAUCUUGACGGUACCUAAUCAGAAAGCCACGGCUAACUACGU